UUAGCUCAAUUCCUGAGGCUUUAAAUGCAGUUCAGUGCUAGGGUGCCGACUCGCUGAGCACGCAGGGACGGAGGAACUCAUUCUGAGUUGGUUGCACCGAAGAACUACGGCUCGAGCAGCUUGUUUUCCCCCGCGCCGUCCAAGGGGAGGGAAUAGGGAGUUGGCGUGGCUGGGGUGGGGGGUGAGGGCGGAUCUCUUGGACGGGGAUAAAAGACAAAGUUUGAACCAGCGGUCGGCCUCCUGGGAUUUUACAGUGCGUGCUUCGCUGAGUCUCAGUGGUUGUGAGCACUCGAUUAAAACUGCCUGGCUGGGGCCGGGCGCUGUGGCUCACGGCUGUAAUGCCAGCCUUUGGGAGGCCGAGGCGGGCGGAUCACAAGGUUAAGAGAUCGAGACCAUCCUGGCUAACAAGUUAACAGAUUUAAAAAGGAGUUUCAUUAAUAUAAAUGAUCAAGAUUGUGACUGGCAUUUACAGUGGAAAAGGAAGAAGGGCAAGUGUUUUACUACAAUGGAGUCUGUCUGUCUCCCAGGCUGGAGUACAGUGGCACGAUAUCAGCUCAGUGCAACCUCCAUCUCCCAGGUUCAAGCGAUUCUCCUGCCUCAGGCUCCAGAGUAGGUGAGACUACAGGCAUGCACCACCACUCCCGGCUAAUUUUUUGUGUUUUUAGUAGAGGGGUUUCAUCAGGUUAGCCAGGCUGGUCUCGAACUCCUGAACUCAGGUGAUUCACCUGCCUCGCCCUCUCAAAGUGCUGGGAUUACAGGUGUGAGCCACCUGAGACACUGCUUCCGGCCAGAAUUGGCAUUAAUUUACAAGCUGCUAUUGUCGUUUAGUUUAUAUUUAACGCUUAAAUGAUUAUAUAGACAUUGUCCACAGAAUCUUCACCAUGUCAUUCUUCUGUUCUUACUUGAAAAGUGACAUUUGGCAGAUGGUAGCCAGAUCAUUAAAGCAGUAGGUUUAACAUAGUAGUAUAGAAAUCAGGUAAUAGAUGCAUAAAGUUAAAAUAAUAUUAAAUUGAGGGAGAUUGUUUCACUUAAACCAUUAAAUAACCUUUUUUAAAAUUUGCUGCUAGGUUAGGGUGGUUAUGCAGCUAUGUGUCAUUUCCUGAAAUUAUCUUUCAUUUGUUUUAUGAGUAAAACUGUCUCUAUAAGUUUACCCUAGAAAUCCAUAGGUAUUUUGGGAAAUUGAAUUAUAAGUGGCUAGAUUAACUAACUUUUGUUUUUAGGCAAACUUAGAUUGCUCUAUAAAUCUUAAUCAAAUCAAUCACAUAUGGUAACUGGGGGAGGGGGUUAUUCUGCUUAUUAGUCAAAGAUAUGAUGAAUUUAUUUAUCUUUUAAGACAGGGUCUCGCUCUGUUGCCCAGGCUGGACUGCAGUGACACAACCACGGCUCACUGUGGCCUCGACCUCCCAGGCUCAAGCAAUUCUCUCACCACAGACUCCCAAGUAACUGGGACUACAGGCAUGCACCACCAUGCCCAGCUAAUUUUUAAAGUUUUGUAGAGAUGGGUUUCGCUGUGUUGCCAGGGUUGGUCUCAAACUCCUGGGCUUAAGCAAUCCUCCCAACUCAGCCUCUCAAAGUGCUGGGAUUAUGGGUGUGAGCCACCGUGCCUGGCUAAAAUGAUGAAUUUCUUAUCCACAUCAUCUGUUAAGGCAAAAAGAGGAAACUGGUUAUUCUGUUAUCCUGCUUUUUCUUGGGAAUAUUUAUUUUCAAAUGAUUUGAGUCCUUCAACUCAACAGUCUCAUAACCAAUAAAAGGAAAUGGAGAUUGGUGGGAGAUUAAAACAUAAAGGACAGGAAUAGGGAAAAUAAGGGAGGAAAAGGUCACAGACACAGAAAUGUGGAAGUUGAAUUCAAAUUAAUUUUUAAUUGAGCACCUACUAUGGGCCCCUCAAAAUGGCUGAGAGUACCACUAACUGUUUUAAAUGAAGGAAAAUCCAAAAAUAACAGCAUUUUUUAUUUAUUUCUAAAACAUCAUUCUUAAUCAACCAUUUAAAUAAAGUUUUGUUUUCCACUCAUGUUUUCACAUUAUUCAGCAUGUUACUUGGGUACCCACUAUUACUAGCCACCUUACCAGGCACAGCAGUUGACAGAUGAACAAGGAGCACAGUCUCAUAGGAGCUUUAUCACAUGUGUUCCUAGGCUGAAAGGCCCUUCUUUAUACUUCUUGGUAGGUGGAGUACAGGAAUGUAGAAGUCAGAAACCUAGGUUCAAACUCCAGCUCUAAUAUAUAUAGUUUCUGUGUGAUUUAGGAAAAAUAAUCUCUCUGAACCUCAGUCCCCCAUGUGGAAAAUUAGCAUGAUACUUACCUCAUAAGGCUGUAGGGAUUAAUUAAAAUUAUGUAUGUAGAGCACUUCACGGAGUAUAGAGAGUGCUAAAUAAAUGGAUGCUGAGGUUAUUGACAGCCCUAGGAUGGAUGGAUCAUGGGUUCCCAAAUAUGGGAUGCAAUUUCAAGUUCUUAACACCAAAUAUAACCCUACUUGCUUUAGUUUCCUGGCAUUCAUGCUAUCAUCCCCAGUUUAGUGCACCUCAGGUUAUCAAGGAUGUAGGAGGGAUUCUACAAGCAUAUGUUCCCCCAGAGCUUUUUGGUACCCUGCAAUCCUAGAAGUUGUUGAUGCUAGGAUGUCUGGAGAGCACAGGCCAUUUGUCACUGAGAAGAAUAUGUUACAAAGGAGAUGGGAGUAGUAAGGAAAGUUGAGGAACCGAUCAAAAUAGAUGAAUGUCAAAAAAAAAAAAAGUUUUCACUUUUAAUUCAUGAUAAAAACCCAGUUAAAAUUAGGUAUACCAGAUUUCUUUAUUUUCAACCAUGUGUGCACAUACACUCAGAUUUUUUUCUUUUGGUAGUGAUUUGGCUUUUUGUUAACAACAGUGACACAAGUUUUAUGUUUAAUUUAAAUACUACAACGGUUAAACUGGUUUUGGGUGAGAUUUUCCAGAAAUUUAUUAAAUACGAAGUUCCUUAACUACUGACUUAGAGGAAUAAGUAUUGUUUAACCAGGGAAAAAGUUGUCAACAACCACCAGCUUCUCUUCCUACUUUUUUAGAAUAUAAAAGAUAGUAUCUAAAUUAUUUUUUCCUCUCUCAUCACUUACAAAAAUCUCAAUUAUUUAGGCAUAUCCUUGGCAUGUUCAUAAAAUUGUUCCAUUAGGCAUUCUAUAAUUAUAAUCAUAUUAUUUUUAAUCCCUACUCAUUUCACCUAUAAUUUUCAAAUGUUUGAUUUUUAUUCAAUUCUUAUAUCCUGUUCAUAUAUUUUUUAGCUAUAGUAAAACAUGAUUUUUCAUGU
Macaca mulatta (Rhesus monkey) is the source of this 3276-nucleotide non-coding RNA. The record is from RefSeq and is a predicted model, not a curated record. NCBI's taxonomy places the organism in Eukaryota, Metazoa, Chordata, Mammalia, Primates, Cercopithecidae.